This 281-nucleotide ribosomal RNA is filed under the name uncultured prokaryote. RNAcentral's name for it is "partial 16S ribosomal RNA". It matches the Rfam family "Bacterial small subunit ribosomal RNA", at positions 524 to 803 of the family's 1533-position model. The record is from RNAcentral.
UACGGAGGAUCCGAGCGUUAUCCGGAUUUAUUGGGUUUAAAGGGUGCGUAGGCGGUCUUUCAAGCCAGAAGUGAAAGGCUACGGCUCAACCGUAGUAAGCUUUUGGAACUGUAAGACUUGAGUGCAGGAGAGGUAAGCGGAAUUCCUAGUGUAGCGGUGAAAUGCGUAGAUAUUAGGAGGAACACCGGUGGCGAAGGCGGCUUACUGGACUGUAACUGACGCUGAGUCACGAAAGCGUGGGUAGCAAACAGGAUUAGAUACCCUGGUAGUCCCUGAGCGGG